GUUGGAAACUAAUAAGGAAGAUGCAGAGUUGUUGGAACUAAAUCAGGUCAUCUGUUGUCUGUAGAAAACCCUGAUUACAGAUCAUGCAAAAGCAAAUUAAAAAAAAAACACUAAUUACGGUUCAAGAAAACCCUCAAGAAACCCAGUUUGGAAUAAACUAAAAAUCCUGAUAACGGAUCAUGCAAAAGCAAAUUUUAAAAAAAAUACGAAUUAUGGUUCAAGAAAACCCUCAAGAAACCCAGUUUGGAAUAAACUAAAAACCUUGAUAACGGAUCAUGGAAAAGCAAAUUUAAAAAAAAAUACGAAUUAUGGUUCAAGAAAACCCUCAAGAAACCCAAUUUGGAAUAAACUAAAAACCCUGAUUACGGAUCAUGCAAAAGCAAAUUACAAAAAAAAAACACUAAUUACGGUUCAAGAAACCCCAUUUGGAAUAAUGGUGUAGGACUAAUCCCGGAAGUGGUGACUGUCACGCUGCUACUUCAAUGUUGACUGUUGUAAUGGUAGAAGGUGACAACAGAGGAAGAGGAGGAAGAGUAGGAAGAGAAGAAGGGAGGGAAAACGGCAGAGAGGAGAGAGAGAAGAGGAGAGGAAGAAAAACGAGAAGGAAGAAGAGAGAAGAAGGAAACGUGGGGAAAGAAAUUCUUAAUUCUUCAUUGAAAACCUUACCAUGAAAAUAGUUCCCUAUAUAUAGGGCCCAAAUACACAAUUUGCAUAAACCCCCUUACACAGAAAUAAAUCCUAAUAAGCCCACAAAUAAUACAAAUAAACCACAAAUAAGCCCUAAAAUGCAAAUAAGCCCAGAAAUAAAAUAAACCACAAAUAAGCCCUAAAAUGCAAAUAAACCCAGAAAUAAAAUAAUAAAAUAAACAUGCAAAUAAAAUGGUGGCCUAGCUGAUGUCCCCAUCAACUCCUCCCGGUGGAA
This 922-nucleotide long non-coding RNA is filed under the name Phoenix dactylifera (date palm). RNAcentral's name for it is "long non-coding RNA (PDAC_LNC003042)". The record is from RNAcentral. Lineage: Eukaryota; Viridiplantae; Streptophyta; Magnoliopsida; Arecales; Arecaceae.